GCAGGUAGCCUAGUGGUUAGAGUGUAGGGGCGGCAGGUAGCCUAGCGGUUAGAGUGUAGGGGCGGCAGGUAGCCUAGCGGUUAGAGCGUAGGGGCGGCAGGUAGCCUAGUGGUUAGAGUGUAGGGACGGCAGGUAGCCUAGUGGUUAGAGUGUAGGGGUGGCAGGUAGCCUAGUGGUUAGAGUGUAGGGAGGGCAGGUAGCCUAGUGGUUAGAGUGUAGGGAUGGCAGGUAGCCUAGUGGUUAGAGUGUAGGGACGGCAGGUAGCCUAGUGGUUAGAGUGUAGGGAUGGCAGGUAGCCUAGUGGUUAGAGUGUAGGGACGGCAGGUAGCCUAGUGGUUAGAGUGUAGGGAUGGCAGGUAGCCUAGUGGUUAGAGUGUAGGGAUGGCAGGUAGCCUAGUGGUUAGAGUGUAGGGAUGGCAGGUAGCCUAGUGGUUAGAGUGUAGGGAUGGCAGGUAGCCUAGUGGUUAGAGUGUAGGGAUGGCAGGUAGCCUAGUGGUUAGAGUGUAGGGAUGGCAGGUAGCCUAGUGGUUAGAGUGUAGGGAUGGCAGGUAGCCUAGUGGUUAGAGUGUAGGGGCCUAGUGGUUAGAGGGGAGGCAGGUAGCCUAGUGGUUAGAGGGGAGGCAGGUAGCCUAGUGGUUAGAGGGGAGGCAGGUAGCCUAGUGGUUAGAGGGGUGGCAGGUAGCCUAGUGGUUAGAGGGGAGGCAGGUAGCCUAGUGGUUAGAGGGG
Oncorhynchus keta (chum salmon) is the source of this 726-nucleotide long non-coding RNA. RefSeq lists it as uncharacterized. The transcript has 4 exons. Lineage: Eukaryota; Metazoa; Chordata; Actinopteri; Salmoniformes; Salmonidae. The record is from RefSeq and is a predicted model, not a curated record.